RNAcentral lists this ribosomal RNA (207 nucleotides) under uncultured bacterium. Its description in RNAcentral is "partial 16S ribosomal RNA". It matches the Rfam family "Bacterial small subunit ribosomal RNA", at positions 568 to 774 of the family's 1533-position model. The record is from RNAcentral.
CGCGUAGGCUGCGGGGCAAGUCGGGUGUGAAAUCUCAGAGCUCAACUCUGAAACUGCACUCGAUACUGCUUUGCUUGAGGACUGGAGAGGAGAUUGGAGUUCACGGUGUAGCAGUGAAAUGCGUAGAUAUCGUGAGGAAGACCAGUGGCGAAGGCGGAUCUCUGGACAGUUCCUGACGCUGAGGCGCGAAGGCCAGGGGAGCAAACG